RNAcentral lists this ribosomal RNA (490 nucleotides) under uncultured bacterium. RNAcentral's name for it is "partial 16S ribosomal RNA". It matches the Rfam family "Bacterial small subunit ribosomal RNA", at positions 30 to 507 of the family's 1533-position model. The record is from RNAcentral.
AUUGAACGCUGGCGGCAGGCCUAACACAUGCAAGUCGAACGGUAACAGAAAGCAGCUUGCUGCUUUGCUGACGAGUGGCGGACGGGUGAGUAAUGUCUGGGAAACUGCCUGAUGGAGGGGGAUAACUACUGGAAACGGUAGCUAAUACCGCAUAACGUCGCAAGACCAAAGAGGGGGACCUUCGGGCCUCUUGCCAUCGGAUGUGCCCAGAUGGGAUUAGCUAGUAGGUGGGGUAACGGCUCACCUAGGCGACGAUCCCUAGCUGGUCUGAGAGGAUGACCAGCCACACUGGAACUGAGACACGGUCCAGACUCCUACGGGAGGCAGCAGUGGGGAAUAUUGCACAAUGGGCGCAAGCCUGAUGCAGCCAUGCCGCGUGUAUGAAGAAGGCCUUCGGGUUGUAAAGUACUUUCAGCGGGAAGGAAGGGAGUAAAGUUAAUACCUUUGCUCAUUGACGUUACCCGCAGAAGAAGCACCGGCUAACUCCGUG